Desmophyllum pertusum is the source of this 75-nucleotide non-coding RNA. Lineage: Eukaryota; Metazoa; Cnidaria; Anthozoa; Scleractinia; Caryophylliidae. The record is from the annotation of a GenBank genome assembly.
GACAUGGUGGCCUAAUGGUUAACGCGUUGGACUCCAGAUCGAGUGGUCUGGGUUCAAGCCAGGGUCAGUGUGUUG